RNAcentral lists this long non-coding RNA (355 nucleotides) under Coffea arabica (coffee). RNAcentral describes it as "long non-coding RNA (CARA_LNC000729)". Lineage: Eukaryota; Viridiplantae; Streptophyta; Magnoliopsida; Gentianales; Rubiaceae. The record is from RNAcentral.
UUAGAUAGCAGUGAUGAUAUAUCCUGCUUGUUAACCAUGGGAAAUUCUAGUCAGAAGCUGGAAAAGACCACCAGUGUGAGGACACCUAGAUUCUUACUCUUUGGUCAGCCAAUACUCACUGAGCAGCAGAUGUCACAUGGCUACAAUAGUGAUGCAGUUUCUCAAGUAGGGAAAAGUUCAGCAUGUGGGAUAUCAUUGAAGGCAGAAGAUGUUUCACUUGAUCAAAAAGUUCACAUGGAUAGCCUGCCCAAUACUGGAUUGUUUUGGAAUCAAGGAUGUCAUGCAGCUGAACUUGGCCUUGAUACUGGUCACUGCAAAGUGUUCUUGGAAUCGGAAGAUGUUGGCAGGACUCUUG